CGGGGGGCUGCAGCAGUGGGGAAUAUUGGACAAUGGGGGCAACCCUGAUCCAGCAAUGCCGCGUGUGUGAAGAAGGCCUGCGGGUUGUAAAGCACUUUCAAUAGGGAGGAAAAGCUUUGGGUUAAUACCCCGAAGUCUUGACGUUACCUUUAGAAGAAGCACCGGCUAACUCUGUGCCAGCAGCCGCGGUAAUACAGAGGGUGCGAGCGUUAAUCGGAAUUACUGGGCGUAAAGCGCGCGUAGGCGGUUUGAUAAGUCAGAUGUGAAAGCCCCGGGCUUAACCUGGGAACUGCAGUUGAUACUGUCAAACUAGAGUAUGGUAGAGGGUAGUAGAAUUCCUGGUGUAGCGGUGAGAUGCGUAGAUAUCAGGAGGAAUACCAGUGGCGAAGGCGGCUACCUGGACCAAUACUGACGCUGAGGUGCGAAAGCGUGGGGAGCAAACAGGAUUAGAUACCCCCGUAGUC
Molecule: ribosomal RNA, 464 nt
Filed under: uncultured bacterium
Lineage: Bacteria
Description: partial 16S ribosomal RNA
Rfam family: Bacterial small subunit ribosomal RNA
Source: RNAcentral